ACCCGCUGAAUUUAAGCAUAUAAGUAAGUGGUGGAAAUUAAACCAACUGGGAUCUCUUCAGUAAUUGCGCAUGAACCAGGAUAUGCUUAGCUUGACAAAUGGAGCUGCUGGCUCUGAAUUGUAUUGUGGGAAUGUAUUACCAACAGAGGUGCAGGUGUCAGCCAUUUGAAAGAAAGCAUCAAUGAGGGUGAGAGUCCUGUUUGUCAUGUGCAGCCUUCUGUGCACGGUGUAUAUUUGCUGAGUCACACUCCUCGGCAUUGGAAUGCAAAGUGGGUGGUAAGUUUCAUGCAAAGGUAAAUAUGCAAUUGAGACUGAUAGCGCACAAGUACCAUGAGGGACAUAUGAAAAGGACUUUGAACAGAGAAUUAAAUGAGUUUGUAUUUGCUAAACACAAAGUAAACAGACUUGAUUUCCUCAGUGAGAUUGUAGUGCUUGCUUGACAAUGGGUUUUGGCUGCAAGUGCAAUAAUUCUUGCUUUGUGUGCCAAUUUUUAUGUGGACAUUUGAUUACCUUUGCACAUGAAUGGUAAUUUUCCUGCGGGGUGUGGAUUGCAUAUGCAUGUAAUGAUUUGCAUGUUUGUUAAAUGUGUCUGGUGUAUUUGUUUGUGUCCUUGUCCUUGAGGUUGCUUUCUCCCUUGGGCUUACAUGCCCUGGCACACACAUUCUGGCAAAAUGCUUCUGCUUGACCCGUCUUGAAACACGGUCCAAGG
RNAcentral lists this ribosomal RNA (709 nucleotides) under Alexandrium catenella. Its description in RNAcentral is "LSU rRNA". It matches the Rfam family "Eukaryotic large subunit ribosomal RNA", at positions 23 to 671 of the family's 3401-position model. Lineage: Eukaryota; Dinophyceae; Gonyaulacales; Pyrocystaceae. The record is from RNAcentral.